This 1346-nucleotide ribosomal RNA is filed under the name metagenome. RNAcentral's name for it is "bacterial SSU rRNA". It matches the Rfam family "Bacterial small subunit ribosomal RNA", at positions 125 to 1440 of the family's 1533-position model. The record is from RNAcentral.
CCUGCCCUCGAGUUGGGGAUAACACUUCCAACGAGGUGCUAAUACCGAAUAAGACCACAUCUCCGCAUGGUCCUGUGGUCAAAGAUGGCCUCUACUUGUAAGCUAUCGCUUGAGGAUGGUCCCGCGUCCCAUUAGCUUGUUGGUGGGAUAAUGGCCCACCAAGGCUACGAUGGGUAGCUGGUCUGAGAGGAUGGUCAGCCACACUGGGACUGAGAUACGGCCCAGACUCCUACGGGAGGCAGCAGUCGAGAGGCUUCGGCAAUGGGGGAAACCCUGACCGAGCGACGCCGCGUGCGCGAUGAAGGCCUUCGGGUUGUAAAGCGCUGUCGUGCGGGAAGAAAGGUUCAUCUGCAAACAGUGGAUGGAUUUUGACGGUACCGCAAAAGGAAGCUCCGGCUAACUCCGUGCCAGCAGCCGCGGUAAUACGGGGGGAGCAAACGUUGUUCGGAUUUACUGGGCUAAAGGGCGCGCAGGCGGCCUCGUCAGCGGGAUGUGAAAGGUCCUGGCUUAACCAGGGAAGUGCGUCCCAUACUGCGGGGCUUGAGUGCAGGAGAGGAUGGGGGAAUUCCCGGUGUAGCGGUGAAAUGCAUUGAUAUCGGGAGGAACACCAGUGGCGAAGGCGCCCAUCUGGACUGCUACUGACGCUGAGGCGCGAAAGCUGGGGGAGCAAACAGGAUUAGAUACCCUGGUAGUCCCAGCCGUAAACGGUGAGCACUAGGUGUGGGGGGCAUCGACCCCUUCCGUGCCGCAGCUAACGCAUUAAGUGCUCCGCCUGGGGAGUACGACCGCAAGGUUGAAACUCAAAGGAAUUGACGGGGGCCCGCACAAGCGGUGGAGCAUGUGGUUUAAUUCGAUGCAACGCGAAGAACCUUACCUGGGCUUGAACUACAGGCAUUAGUUACCUGAAAGGGCUAACGAUCCUCCUUUGGAGGAACCUGCAGAGGUGCUGCAUGGCUGUCGUCAGCUCGUGUCGUGAGAUGUUGGGUUAAGUCCCGCAACGAGCGCAACCCUUACUAUUAGUUGUCAGCGAGUUAUGUCGGAUACUCUAAUGGGACUGCCGGUGACGAGCCGGAGGAAGGUGGGGAUGACGUCAAGUCAGCAUGGCCUUUAUGUCCAGGGCUACACACGUGCUACAAUGGAUGGUACAGAGGGCAGCAAGACCGCGAGGUGGGGCUAAUCCUUAAAACCAUUCUCAGUUCGGAUUGCAGGCUGCAAUUCGCCUGCAUGAAGGUGGAAUUGCUAGUAAUCGCGGAUCAGCUACGCCGCGGUGAAUGCGUUCUCGGGUCUUGUACACACCGCCCGUCACGUCACGAAAGCUGGUGGCGCCAGAAGUCGCUGGUCUAACC